UACGAAGGGGCAAGCGUUGUUCGGAAUUAUUGGGCGUAAAGGGAGCGUAGGCGGUUCGGACAAGUCUUUAGUGAAAUCUCUGGGCUCAACUCAGAGUCUGCUGGAGAAACUGCCGGGCUGGAGUAUGGGAGAGGUGAGUGGAAUUCCGGUGUAGCGGUGAAAUGCGUAGAUAUCGGAGGAACACCUGUGGCGAAGGCGGUUCU
Molecule: ribosomal RNA, 203 nt
Filed under: uncultured bacterium
Lineage: Bacteria
Description: partial 16S ribosomal RNA
Rfam family: Bacterial small subunit ribosomal RNA
Source: RNAcentral